This is a long non-coding RNA of Psammomys obesus (fat sand rat), 3482 nucleotides long. RefSeq lists it as uncharacterized. The transcript has 2 exons. The record is from RefSeq and is a predicted model, not a curated record. NCBI's taxonomy places the organism in Eukaryota, Metazoa, Chordata, Mammalia, Rodentia, Muridae.
UUUUUUUUUUAAUGCAUAGGCAGCUGGGGCGUUGUUAUAUAGGUCAAGUAUGACUUGUUAGGACUGUUAGCUGAUCUUCUUAUGUCCCACCAGACAGAUGCAACAGUAAUGCCACGGUCCUUUAGGAAAUUUGUGCUGGGUUUGCCAAAGCCAUCAGUGAAACUCUUGAAUGAUGAAGCACUCCUGAGUGCCAAAGUUGUCAGAUGGUAGUGCCAAUUUGUGGGUGCCCUGUUGGCAUGGCUUCUUCCUGUUUGAAAUCCUGAGUGACAGCAUGAGUCCAGCUUAUUACAUAGUCAUUGCUUCCUCUUAAGUCCUGACUGAUCCAGUACCCUGGCAUAAGGAUCCAUGAGGUACCCACAGUUCAAAUUUUCUUGAGUUUUGUUUUUUUGUUUGUUUUUUGUUUUUCAAGACAGCAUUUCUCUGUGUAGCCCUGGCUGUCCUGGAACUCAAACUCGAACCAAGCUGGCAUCGAACUCACAGAGAUCCACCUGCAUCUGCCUUCUGAGUGCAGGAAUUAAAGCUGUGCAUCACCACCAUUUGGCUCUGAAUCUCCUUUUAGAGUUGUGAAAAUAGCAGGAAAUGACCGGCAUCACAGCACUUAAUGAUGGUGACAUUGACUUUUUUAAGUCUUCUGAUUCCAGACUUAUGUUCCUUUGCCAGUAUACUACCUACACAUUGAUAGGCUUAGUUGAUGCACUGUGGUUAAGGUCAGGUGUAGGAUAAUUCUGGGCAAGGAAACAAGUAUUCAAAAUGGCAGUUGCACUUACGGGAGGAGGUCCUCUUGUCCCCUCUUAUGUGACUAUAGCUGAACUGCCACUUAUGACAAAUCUUGGGCCAUCCUGGUCCUGUUACUCAUGUUUGAUCUUUUGUUUUUGUAGCCAAGGCUGUCCUUAAAUUCCUGAUCCUCCUGCCUCCAUUUCCCAAGUGUUGGAAUUUACAGGACUGUGCCAUUGUACUUGACCUCAUUUUGUUUGAUCUUAACUUGGAAACAAUCCCUGGGGAUAGUUGGAAGAUUUGAGUUUCUCUGGGAUGUCACUGUCCAGUUUUGAAAUAAUUUUGUAAAUGGGUUUCUUCCAGGAAGGAUCUGAGUCUUUCCCUUCGGAGACAGCCCUGAAGAACUCCUGUAAUGUCAAGGUGGCAAUUUCCAAGAAGCAGUCUGGGACCUGCAACUCCAAAAACAACCCAAAGAAAAGGAAGAAAUGAGUCUGGAAGUGCUGGCACCACAGAGAGCCCACUGAUGGCUGCUGCCUGCUGCUGGCUCAGAGGAUGCCUACUCCACUGGCCCACAGUUUGCAGCCCAGGACUGCUCUGGUCCCUUGUGAAGCACAGACCUUAAGUGACCAACCAGUAGCUGGUUCCACAACUGGAUAUGUUUUAGUGACUAAGUAGGAAAUGAAUUAUAGGGAAGAAAUGAGAGAUUUAGCUUUCUUUUCCCUAGACCUGGUAUGAGAAAGAGUGUCCUCAAGCUUAUGACUGCCAUACCUGUAGAGCUCAAAUCCUAAAGGCUUAAAUCCUUGCUUCCAAAGCCAUCUGAAGGGGCUGGUCCAGAAACUUCACUCAAACUGGCCCCAUAGGUGAUGGCAUGGCCCACAGGCCUUCCAGGUGCAGCCUGGGUGGGGAAUCGCUGCCACUGCCUACCAAAUGGCCAUCCCCACAUGGAAGGUAGAGAGGUGCUACUGCCCUCACACUGGCUUUAACCCCUUCCUCCCCACAGAAAGGCUUCAGUUUCCAAGCAUGCUCUGGCUGUGGAGGCCAGCAGCCUUUACUCUCUUGGAGGAAUCAAGUGAGAAAAGAAGAAAGAAAUGAACCCUGUGACGACACACACUGGACACCUGAAGAGGAAGAUGGCAGCCACCUAAGAGCCUAGCUGCCACUUGACACUCAGGCUCUGAGGCACCAGCAUACACCUUCAUGGAGGCUCCAAGAGUCUGGAUUCUUCAGCCUUGAUGCACCAGAAAGAAUUUGAAUCUACCACACAGAUAGAACUAAACAGGUAAAAAAAAAAAAAAAAUGAAGGCCGAGUGUUAGGAAGAGCAGAAAUUGUCAGAAAAAUAGAUCCUGUGAUGGAGUCCAGCAUUUGGUGCUGAGUCACCAGCACGGAGGUAAAAAGGCCAACAGUCUCUAUAACAGAGACUUGUGCAGAGUAGGAUGUCUCAGCGGUGAAAUACUGGCAAACCAGGGUAUGAUCAGGCUGGCUGUAUUUGCUUUGUCCACCUGUUGCCUGGAGAAGAUUUGGAGGCUGUAAUCUUUGUUGGUGAUACAGAGGUUGGCCUCCCCAGAGGAGUUGUUUUUAGAGAACCAGCCAUUCUGAGGAAACACAUCUCAGUUCUCAUGGGACCCGGCACAUUGACUUACCUCAAAGUCAUUUCCCUUGUUAUAGUGUGUAUUGAGAACUCGAAAAAGCUCUGAGUCACGGAGAACUGCCAGCAUUUGGGGGUUUGUGACACCAUCUGAAAUUGCUUGCCGGGCAUACUUUUCCAUUUGGAUGUAAUAAAAUUCACGGAAGUUGCUGAACCACUUGAUCAUCUGGGAGGUGAUGCAACGGUUGAACUGUGAACAGAGGGCUUGUCAGGUCAGACAUUUCCAUGGAUACUCACCGUCAUAGCUGUCAGUGUCACUUCAACAUGAGAUUAAUGUGAAUUGACCUAACCACUAACCAGUUUUCCUUCAGAAGUGAAGCCACAGGCAUUCUCAGAACAGGAAAUUGAACCAGUUCCAUCAGUAACAUGAAGGGCACAUGAAGACCUACGACUUGCCUCCCCCUGGGCAACACACACAGCAACUGGAGAGUCUGCAGAGGCUGAAACACAAUGUGUGGCUUUACCUGAACAUCAGGGAAAUACGCCUUCAGGAGGCUGGAGCUGGGGUAACGCGUGAAGAAGAACAUGAGUUUGGCCUUCUUCAAGUGUCCAGGGCUCAGGCCUUCCUGGAUGUAUUUUGGUGUCAAGGGAAAAGAGCAUUUUCAAAACACCAGCUUCGGAAAAAAACAAAAAACAGCUUGCUUUCUGUGCUCACAGCACUUCCACAAAUAUGGGGAACAUUUCUAAAGUUCACCAGACUUUCUGCAAGAUGGGCAAGCACCAACUCUACCCAGGGAAAGCAGCCUUUCUGACAGGAAGCAGUGUUUGGGGGCAGGGGCAGCGUAAGUCCUCCCACUGAAACUAUCAAGAAGAUUGAGACCUGAGUCCUCAACCUAACUGCGGAGCUAAGCCAGUCUGGCCAGUAAGACAUGGGAGCAACUUGAACACGGAGACAUGGGGGCGAGUGUUCAAGUCUAAGCCAAUUUUGUUAUUAAGACAAUAAAAUCAUACAGUUAUUUUUAAAGUUGUGGUGAGACACACCUGUAACCCCAGUAACUGGGAGGGUGAGGUAGGAGGAUCAGAAGUUCAAGGCCAUCCAGCCUUGGAAUUCAUGAGACCCUGUCUCUAAAACAAUAGCAAUGAUGAUAAUAAAGAACCAGUUUAUCAAAUAAUUUUACCGGA